CAAAAGGUUCCUUUUAUUAGUAUAGAUUGCGUUAAUAUAUAAAAAAAACUAUUUUUUUUGGUUUCUAAAGUACUGCUUAGAGCAUGUUUAUUGCAAGGUUCUUAUCAAGUCUCUAACUAUCUUAUGCUAUAAAGAAGAAGGAUUCUCUCACGGGAAGGAGACACGUCAGAAAAUCGGUUAACCACGUUGCGACACAUGUCCCCUUACUUUAAACAUUACGUUCCAUUUAUUUGAUCACGGGUUUCUUUUCUAAUUCUGUUGGGCUGCCUCCACGUGAUCAGGCCCGUCUAGCUCUACAAUCACUAAACGUCGCGUUUUCAAUUAGUGUUCGCAGUGUCUCUCUCUCUCUCUCUCGCAUCUCCACCCUUCCUCCAUUGCCAAUCUUUCGUCUUCCUCCUUCCGGUGGGAGAUGAAGCAGUAACCGAUACCCCCUAAUAAAACCCUCCUUAAUCAAUUACACACGAUUUCCAUUCAGUGCGACCCUGGAGAGUGCAAGGCGGUGGAGGCUCUGCUAUAAAAAGACUGGCCGCUCCUCCUCCUCUGUUCAAGUUCGCCUGCUCCGAUUUUGGGAGGCCAGAAACGUCCGGCGUGGGGGAGAAGCUUAUGGAAGUCGACAUGCUCCUUCUAGAUUCUCAGGCGACUAUGAUGCCGGCGAAGCUCACGAUGCUUCAAUUACACGAAGCUCACAGAGCAGUGGAAACGGUUUGAUGCUUUGAAGCGAAACGAUGCAUCAUCUCGCCCUGGAGAUCAUUGGUGUUGGGAAGAAGAAGCUUUAUGCAGCUAAAGUGUGGAUGAAGCCAAGGUUGAACUUCAAGGAGUCGCAGGAGUUCAAGUCUGCCAAUGACGUUUCCCCUACCAUUACUCCCUUCUAUCUUGGCUGCAAAUAAGGUAUGACCACGAACAUUACAUAUAUGUAUGCAAGACAUAUAUUAAUCUUAAGAAAAAUUUUGAUCUUUGUUAUGAACCAGAUUGUGGAUGGCUCAUAACCAAGAGAUUAUGAUUUGUAAUCUUUUCAUUUAUCUAUGACGGUGUAAUCUCCUAUAUAAGGAACCUCUAUGUUAUGAAUAAAGAUAGACUUUUCCAUUACUUUUAUAACACAUUA
Brassica napus (rape) is the source of this 1102-nucleotide long non-coding RNA. RefSeq lists it as uncharacterized. NCBI's taxonomy places the organism in Eukaryota, Viridiplantae, Streptophyta, Magnoliopsida, Brassicales, Brassicaceae. The transcript is spliced from 4 exons. The record is from RefSeq and is a predicted model, not a curated record.